This 203-nucleotide long non-coding RNA is filed under the name Hordeum vulgare. Its description in RNAcentral is "long non-coding RNA (HVUL_LNC010330)". Lineage: Eukaryota; Viridiplantae; Streptophyta; Magnoliopsida; Poales; Poaceae. The record is from RNAcentral.
GAAGAAGACGAGGAGCGAGCAGAAGAAGAGGAACAAAGCGAUGAGGAGGAGGAGUACGGCGAUGAUGAAGGACCUCCACCAACUCAGACAACCCAGCUUGAGAAGAGGAAUGUGUCGAAGAGGGAUUGGGCAAGUCCAUCCCCGUUUCAGAGAGCGCGUCCUCCUCAGCGCAAGAAGAAUGCGAGUGAGACCCGCUCAAAAAA